AGUGAACGCUGGCGGUAGGCCUAACACAUGCAAGUCGAACGGCAGCACAGUAAGAGCUUGCUCUUACGGGUGGCGAGUGGCGGACGGGUGAGGAAUACAUCGGAAUCUACUUUUUCGUGGGGGAUAACGUAGGGAAACUUACGCUAAUACCGCAUACGACCUACGGGUGAAAGCAGGGGAUCUUCGGACCUUGCGCGAUUGAAUGAGCCGCUGUCGGAUUAGCUAGUUGGCGGGGUAAAGGCCCACCCAGGCGACGAUACGUAGCUGGUCUGAGAGGAUGAUCAGCCACACUGGAACUGAGCCACGGUCCAGACUCCUAAGGGAGGCAGCAGUGGGGAAUAUUGGACAAUGGGCGCAAGCCUGAUCCAGCCAUACCGCGUGGGUGAAGAAGGCCUUCGGGUUGUAAAGCCCUUUUGUUGGGAAAGAAAAGCAGCAGGUUAAGACCCCGCUGUUCUGACGGUACCCAAAGAAUAAGCACCGGCUAACUUCGUG
RNAcentral lists this ribosomal RNA (492 nucleotides) under uncultured bacterium. RNAcentral describes it as "partial 16S ribosomal RNA". It matches the Rfam family "Bacterial small subunit ribosomal RNA", at positions 29 to 507 of the family's 1533-position model. The record is from RNAcentral.